GUCUCUGUAGUGCAAUCGAUAGCACAUUGGACUUCUAUUCCAGAGGUUGUGUGUUCUAAUUCCACCUGGGGUU
Trichonephila clavipes is the source of this 73-nucleotide non-coding RNA. The record is from the annotation of a GenBank genome assembly. Lineage: Eukaryota; Metazoa; Arthropoda; Arachnida; Araneae; Nephilidae.